This is a long non-coding RNA of Prosopis cineraria, 1513 nucleotides long. RefSeq lists it as uncharacterized. The record is from RefSeq and is a predicted model, not a curated record. NCBI's taxonomy places the organism in Eukaryota, Viridiplantae, Streptophyta, Magnoliopsida, Fabales, Fabaceae. The transcript is spliced from 6 exons.
UCCGGAGAGGAAUGGCCAGUAGCGGGUACGUUAAUUUCGUUACUUCUGGUUUUCCACUUCUGAUGACUUUUUUUUUUUUUUUUGGUUUUGGAAGACCGCUUCUGAUGACUUUGGUAUUGGCAAUAAAUGGCCUUUCUCUUGCCCUUUAUAAUUCGCAACGGUUCUCCUCAUCUUCACCAGAAAUCGACUUCUAGCCCUCUGUUACUAUUUUUCUCAUCCUCUGUCUCCAUUCUUUUCACUAUGGCAGACUCCGAGUGCAUCUACAUUGAUUCACUCGAGACCGAGUGUGUUGAAGCCUAGAUCCUGGUUAAGGUAGACAGGGUUUAUGGUGGGACAGACCUUGAUAUAAAUGAUAUGGAUUUCAGAUGUCCCAAGAAGGUGUUUUCGGUCGAUUUCAUCGUCUUCGACUAUGCUUGGCCUCGAGUUAUCAUCUAUGUAUCUUUGGAGAUGAGAACAUUGUACGGUUCUGCAAUUGUUUGGCAGAGAGGAAGAGUUACUUUAUUCAAAAUAUCUAGGUUGCUGCUGGCGGUUUCGGCAUCCAUCCAAGUAUUCACGUAGAAUCGAUAAACGAGACAACUAUCCAGGUGUGGGCUUAAAAGCCUUCAAGACUUGAUUGGCGCAAACUGGUCAAGGUUCAUAGGAGGUACGGUCGUACAGAUCUUUGAGCGAGAUUUGGGGUACCCAAAGAUUCUUUUAAGCCUAGACAUGAUUGUUUUCGAUGCCAUGGUGACUCAGAUGAUAGUAUCUAUUGUUGGAGACAAACUCAUCAAACGAUUCCAUAAUGUUUUCCAGGAUACUUAUACCUUCUUGAUAAAUGGCCUGAGGAUUGUGGGUGGCGGUGAGCCCAUUCAUGAUGGGUACACAUUGAGCUUCUGCCGAAAGCUUACUAUUCAUUGCUACCUGUUAAUUAGAAUGGUUGAUCAUAACUUGAAGCUUUCUGCUGUUGAAGAAGUGAGGAAGGAUAUUCAACCAGGAUGGCAUGUAAAGGAACUCAAACUCUUUAAAAUUCACACCAACCGGGAAGAAUUUGAUCAGCUUAGUGCUUCACAGUGAUUGUGCUAUUGAGGCAACAAUUGAGUGUCAACCAUUCAUGAAUUGGGAUCAGUUGUCUUUAGAUGUUCAGUAUGCAGUGGUGAACAGGAAAUAAGGGGAUUGCGAAUUAAUGGAUUUUGCAAAUGCGACAAAGGUUUAUUGGAAUCCCAAAUUCCAAGAGACGAGGAAGCUUCCACGGAAGCUGUUUAGUGUGACGAAGAGAAAACGAGUCAAUAUGUAGAAGGAUUUGCCGUGAAGUGAGGUUAUGUUGAGGAUGGGUGAUUCCAGUAUUACCUUAAAUGUAUUGUUAGAUUGUAGUUUGGUUAGAAGACCAUUGCUGCCUUUGGCCGUGGUCUUAAUUUUCAACUUAGUAUUUAGUUUUCUUAUAUUCCAAUUCCAGUUUGAAUCAUGAACCGUUAGUUCAGUGGUCCUUUAUGCAUGUUGUCCUUAAUGAAUAAAUUAAUUGUUGUGAGUUCCAUCA